Molecule: long non-coding RNA, 487 nt
Organism: Micropterus salmoides (largemouth bass)
Lineage: Eukaryota; Metazoa; Chordata; Actinopteri; Centrarchiformes; Centrarchidae
Exons: 2
Source: RefSeq, a predicted model, not a curated record
GAUCACAUUAAGAAACUGAUGUGGUUAAUUAACUGGACUCCGGUGGAAGUGCCUUCCUCUACAUCUGACGGCUGCAUUGUAAAACACUUCCCGUCGAGGCGAAGUGCGCUGCAUGUAAUAUCACCAGCAUCCCCGCUCCCCUCCCCCGCUUCACACGAUCCUCAUUUCUCUUUAAAUUCACUGCAAAACUCAUCUGUCUUAACAAGUCAUUGAGACUCAUUUACAGGCUUCAAGACUCUACGAAAAAAUCUCCUAACCCGGUGAAUCCAUGCGCUGCAAUUUCUCUUGCUUAAAGGGAUUUCCUAUAAAGGUUUCGUUCCCUGCCAGAGAUCUCACUCUGUCCACAUCAUUCAGCGCCUCACCUGCUGUUCCACCGCAUGCCCAGCUCACUGCGUCUGCCUGCCUUUUUGCAAGAGUUCUAGCAACAAACCUCAGUUGCACAUUUGUGAAGUUGUGAAUAAACCCGAACUGUGAAUUUCUCUUGAAA